GGGACAUAUGAUGAGAAACUGUUUGUCACUCACGACGGUCGUCUGAGACACUUUGUGUGUAUUGCUGCGAUAACACAUUCUCUGAUGUCC
This is a non-coding RNA of Hordeum vulgare subsp. vulgare (domesticated barley), 90 nucleotides long. Lineage: Eukaryota; Viridiplantae; Streptophyta; Magnoliopsida; Poales; Poaceae. The record is from Rfam.